GCCUGGGUGGCUCAGUCGGUUGAGCAUCCGACUUCGGCUCGGGUCAUGAUCUCAUGGUUUGUGGGUUCGAGCCCCGCGUCGGGCU
Molecule: transfer RNA, 85 nt
Filed under: Felis catus (domestic cat)
Lineage: Eukaryota; Metazoa; Chordata; Mammalia; Carnivora; Felidae
Also listed under: 3 other names
Rfam family: tRNA
About the family: Transfer RNA (tRNA) molecules are approximately 80 nucleotides in length. Their secondary structure includes four short double-helical elements and three loops (D, anti-codon, and T loops).
Source: Rfam by way of RNAcentral